RNAcentral lists this ribosomal RNA (246 nucleotides) under uncultured bacterium. Its description in RNAcentral is "partial 16S ribosomal RNA". It matches the Rfam family "Bacterial small subunit ribosomal RNA", at positions 796 to 1041 of the family's 1533-position model. The record is from RNAcentral.
CACGCCGUAAACGAUGUCGAUUUGGAGGCUGUGUCCUUGAGACGUGGCUUCCGGAGCUAACGCGUUAAAUCGACCGCCUGGGGAGUACGGCCGCAAGGUUAAAACUCAAAUGAAUUGACGGGGGCCCGCACAAGCGGUGGAGCAUGUGGUUUAAUUCGAUGCAACGCGAAGAACCUUACCUGGCCUUGACAUGUCUGGAAUCCCUAAGAGAUUGGGGAGUGCCUUCGGGAAUCAGAACACAGGUGC